RNAcentral lists this small RNA (17 nucleotides) under Arabidopsis thaliana (thale cress). Its description in RNAcentral is "ATSL018410". The record is from RNAcentral. Lineage: Eukaryota; Viridiplantae; Streptophyta; Magnoliopsida; Brassicales; Brassicaceae.
UUUUCAUGCCGGGGUUU